This 689-nucleotide ribosomal RNA is filed under the name uncultured Glomeromycotina. RNAcentral describes it as "SSU rRNA". It matches the Rfam family "Eukaryotic small subunit ribosomal RNA", at positions 427 to 1115 of the family's 1831-position model. The record is from RNAcentral. Lineage: Eukaryota; Fungi; Glomeromycota.
AGCAGGCGCGCAAAUUACCCAAUCCCAAUACGGGGAGGUAGUGACAAUAAAUAACAAUAUGGGGCUCUUACGGGUCUCGUAAUUGGAAUGAGUACAAUUUAAAUCUCUUAACGAGGAACAAUUGGAGGGCAAGUCUGGUGCCAGCAGCCGCGGUAAUUCCAGCUCCAAUAGCGUAUAUUAAAGUUGUUGCAGUUAAAAAGCUCGUAGUUGAAUUUCGGAGUUUGUCGGUUGGUCGGGCUUCACUGUCCGCACUGGCCUGAUGGAUUCCUACCUUCUGAAUAACCAGCAUGCUAUUAAGUUAGUGCGUUGGGGAAGCAGAGCUAUUACCUUGAAAAAAUUAGAGUGCUUAAAGCAGGCUUUUGCUUGAAUAGAUUAGCAUGGAAUAAUNAAAUAGGACGGCAUGGUUCUAUUUUGUUGGUUUCUAGGAUCACCGUAAUGAUUAAUAGGGAUAGUUGGGGGCAUUAGUAUUCAAUUGUCAGAGGUGAAAUUCUUGGAUUUAUUGAAGGCUAACUUCUGCGAAAGCAUUUGCCAAGGAUGUUUUCAUUAAUCAAGAACGAAAGUUAGGGGAUCGAAGACGAUCAGAUACCGUCGUAGUCUUAACCAUAAACUAUGCCGACUAGGGAUCGGACGAUGUUAAUUUUUUAAUGACUCGUUCGGCGCCUUACGGGAAACCAAAGUGUUUGGGUUCA